Molecule: long non-coding RNA, 1016 nt
Organism: Epinephelus moara (kelp grouper)
Lineage: Eukaryota; Metazoa; Chordata; Actinopteri; Perciformes; Serranidae
Exons: 3
Source: RefSeq, a predicted model, not a curated record
GGGAUUCCAUCUGGUCCAGCUGAAUUCUUGGCAUUCACAGCUCUCAGGACCCGGUUAAGCUCUUGUGUCUGGAGGAUAAGUGAGCUUUCAGCAGAGUCCAGCCGGGGUGAAGCUUCAUUGUCCGGUCUUCUCUCAAAAUGGGCAAAGAAGUGGUUCAAUUCAUCAGCCAGCAUGGGGCCGCAUUCUGUUGUUGCUUUCAGGCUAUUGGAGAGUUGGAGAGAAAGGUCACUGUGUGGGGUGAAGCAGCAGACCAAACAGCAGAAAGCCAGGACUAGGGCUGUGUUCCUCCAUCUAUGUUACUUCCUAUAUGUUUCUGUAUGUUCCUGUUGCAGUGUUCCUCCAUCUAUGUUACUUCCUGUAUGUUUCUGUAUGUUCCUGUUGCAGUGUUCCUCCAUCUAUGUUACUUCCUGUAAGUUUCUAUAUGUUCCUGUAUGUUCCUUAGCAGAAAGUGUUCGUGUUUGCUCUCCUGGUGUUUUUUUUUUUUUUCUCGUAGUUUCCAAUAAAUCAGACAAAUGUCAAUGUUGACAGAAUUUUUUUCUCUCUGGUUUUUCAGUGAGUAUGUGAUGGUGACACUUUAAAUGUAUUGGUAUUGAUGUAAAUGGUAUUGUUAAAAAUUUUUAGGAACAUUCUCUGAGUGUUUUAAUUUCCUAGGAGUAGGAACAGAAUCACAUUUGUUUUAUAAUUUUCAUGAAGGGAACAUUAAACUGAAAACAUUGUGGUAACCUUCCUAUAGUGUUCAAUUAACCUUGGGAACGUCAGGAAAACUUUCUGUUUAUAAUUGUGUUUAAAACAUUCAAACAUUUUGGCAACCGUCCUAUAAUAUUCAACUUACUUUCCCAGAACAUUCUGGGAACAUCAAAAUAACCUUCUGGUUAUGUUAGGAAAACUUGCCGUUUUAACUUGGAAGGAACAUUUGAGGGAGAACAUUCUGGUAACCUUCUUAAAACAUUCAAUUAACCUUCCCAAAACAUUCAGGCAACAUCAAAAUAUCCUUCUGGUAACGUCAGGAAAACUUG